Non-coding RNA from Mycena crocata, 93 nucleotides. The record is from the annotation of a GenBank genome assembly. Lineage: Eukaryota; Fungi; Basidiomycota; Agaricomycetes; Agaricales; Mycenaceae.
GGCCCCAUGGUCUAGUGGUAAGAUACCAAGAUAUGAUGAGGAAUGAGUCUCGUCGUUAUGUUGGAGACCCUCGUUCAAUUCGAGGUGGGGUGA